This 240-nucleotide ribosomal RNA is filed under the name uncultured Geobacter sp. Its description in RNAcentral is "partial 16S ribosomal RNA". It matches the Rfam family "Bacterial small subunit ribosomal RNA", at positions 1143 to 1382 of the family's 1533-position model. Lineage: Bacteria; Pseudomonadati; Thermodesulfobacteriota; Desulfuromonadia; Geobacterales; Geobacteraceae. The record is from RNAcentral.
UGGAGACUGCCGGUGUCAACCGGAGGAAGGUGGGGAGUGACGUCAAGUCCUCAUGGCCCUUAUGACCAGGGCUACACACGUGCUACAAUGGCCGGUACAAGAGUUGCGAUACCGCGAGGUGGAGCUAAUCUCAUAAAGCCGGUCUCAGUUCGGAUUGGAGUCUGCAACUCGACUCCAUGAAGUUGGAAUCGCUAGUAAUCGCGGAUCAGCACGCCGCGGUGAAUACGGUUCCCGGGCCUU